This 493-nucleotide ribosomal RNA is filed under the name uncultured bacterium. RNAcentral's name for it is "partial 16S ribosomal RNA". It matches the Rfam family "Bacterial small subunit ribosomal RNA", at positions 28 to 507 of the family's 1533-position model. The record is from RNAcentral.
GACGAACGCUGGCGGCGUGCCUAACACAUGCAAGUUGAGCGACGAACCAGGGCUUGCCCUGGGGCAAAGCAGCGAACGGGUGAGUAACACGUGGGUAACCUACCCCGAUAACCGGGACAACCCGAGGAAACUCGGGCUAAUACCGGAUGUGCUCACUGGACUUCGGUUCAGUGCGUAAAGGAAGCUUCGGCCUCCGUAUCGGGAGGGGCCCGCGGCCCAUUAGUUUGUUGGUGAGGUAACGGCUCACCAAGACUGCGAUGGGUAGCUGGUCUGAGAGGACGAUCAGCCACACUGGGACUGAGACACGGCCCAGACUCCUACGGGAGGCAGCAGUGGGGAAUCUUGCGCAAUGCGCGAAAGCGUGACGCAGCAACGCCGCGUGGGGGAAGAAGGCCUUCGGGUUGUAAACCCCUUUCAGGAGGGACGAAGGUUCGGCGGUGAAUAGCCGUCCGGACUGACGGUACCUCCACAAGAAGCCCCGGCUAACUACGUG